GCGGGAGUAACUCAGUGGUAGAGUGCAACGUUGCCAACGUUGAUGUCGAGGGUUCGAACCCCUUCUCCCGCUCCA
Molecule: transfer RNA, 75 nt
Filed under: Nitrospinaceae bacterium
Lineage: Bacteria; Pseudomonadati; Nitrospinota; Nitrospinia; Nitrospinales; Nitrospinaceae
Description: tRNA-Gly
Rfam family: tRNA
About the family: Transfer RNA (tRNA) molecules are approximately 80 nucleotides in length. Their secondary structure includes four short double-helical elements and three loops (D, anti-codon, and T loops). Further hydrogen bonds mediate the characteristic L-shaped molecular structure. tRNAs have two regions of fundamental functional importance: the anti-codon, which is responsible for specific mRNA codon recognition, and the 3' end, to which the tRNAs corresponding amino acid is attached (by aminoacyl-tRNA synthetases). tRNAs cope with the degeneracy of the genetic code in two manners: having more than one tRNA (with a specific anti-codon) for a particular amino acid; and 'wobble' base-pairing, i.e. permitting non-standard base-pairing at the 3rd anti-codon position.
Source: RNAcentral